UGACGGACCGCACGCCCCCAGGCCAGUGCACCAGAGCCCUAUCUGGGCUUCAAACUUCACCCACUCCGAACCUAACCUUGCCAGAGCCGGGGGUGUGUGGUCUCUCUUGCUUCUCCGUCUGCUCUGUUUACACCUAGUUUGGUUAUUUCUUUUUCUAUUAUAUCCUUAUUUACACAUAUUAGAUAUAAUCAUAUCUCUUAUUAUUUAAUUUGAAGAUUAUUUAUCCUCUAUUUCCAUUAUCAGAUUUCUUUUUCCCUUAGUAUUUUAUUAUCUUAUUUUCAUUUGUCCAUCUCAACUCCACCUGACCAUCAUUCCAUGACCUUCUGCAUAGAUACACUUUUCCAAAGUCAAUCAGCACCAUCUCCACUAACAGGAUGACUACUAAUCAUUUCACCUAUUCCAGUUAUUAGGAUUAUAACCCCUACCUUGGCUUAUCCUAACCCUAACCAUUCUGGACCCCUGAACAUUAAUUCUUUCAUCCCUAUUAAGUCACAUAUAUCCUAACCCUAAACCAGGAGCUUUAUUUCUUUACUUUAUUUAUUUUUAUUAUAUUAAUUUCCUCCACAGGUGCAGCUCGGGAAGUAGUCCUUCCCUCCGCUCUCCUCCUUAUAACAACCCUUAUUGAUCAUAUUCAAAUGCAAUUGCAUAGCUCACUGGGGGGAACAGUCUAGCACAAACCUGUAUGUUCCUCUGGGGGCACCAUUCAGGAUCACUCACAUACAAAGUUCACCUUUAACCUGUGUCGCUCCUCCAAUCCACAUACUGUACCCCCAUCUUGACUCCUCCCCCUUUUCUUUCCACCUAUAGCCUUUUUUUGCCUUCCCCAAACUUCCCUCUCCCAUAGGCCCAAACUCCACCUGGGCGGCCCCGCAGCUGUGGGCCAACCGGCAGUGAGAGGGUGGCUGAUUAGACGGAGAGAGUAUUCUCCUUAUAUAAGCCACCCUCUCACACCGUAGCCUGCUUCCUCCCUCCAUACCCCUCUGAAGAAGCGCCAGACAGGCGCGAAACGUCAGGGGUACCCGCUCUGUCGGAUCGCUCGCCGACCUCAACCUUUUAACUAGCUUUAUUUAAUUAAAUUCACCAACCCUAUUUGGACUUUUUAAAUUUAAAUUAUUAAAAGUUAAGUUUUAACGUUACACCCGAGCCACCACCCACCUGCCGGAGCGCAUUCUCCCUCCUCCGUCUCCGUCGGCUCCUCUUUUUUUGCUGAGUCAUGUUUUCCAGGAAACUCACACACGCUGAUCGCCACGAGGAGCAACGGAGACCGCAGCCGCAACACGGAGCAGGAUCAAUACAGGCGCUGCCCCCAGAGGACGCUGACUGCUCCCAUAGAUGGCUGCUGGCCUGGGGAUAACAU
This is a long non-coding RNA of Dicentrarchus labrax (European seabass), 1357 nucleotides long. RefSeq lists it as uncharacterized. The record is from RefSeq and is a predicted model, not a curated record. The transcript is spliced from 2 exons. Lineage: Eukaryota; Metazoa; Chordata; Actinopteri; Moronidae.